This 55-nucleotide ribosomal RNA is filed under the name Klebsiella pneumoniae. Its description in RNAcentral is "partial 23S ribosomal RNA". The record is from RNAcentral. Lineage: Bacteria; Pseudomonadati; Pseudomonadota; Gammaproteobacteria; Enterobacterales; Enterobacteriaceae.
GCGUUGAGCUAACCGGUACUAAUGAACCGUGAGGCUUAGCCUUACAACGCCGAAG